AGUGGAUGGGGAGCAACCUAGUUGUGCGUGUGUAAAGGUAGUGCCAAGAAAAGCGGUGAUCAUGAUGAAAAUCAAUUCCCGGUACCCGAAACCGACACAGGUGGGCAAGUAGAGAAUACUAAGGGGCGCGAGGUAACUCUCUCCAAGGAACUCGGCAAAAUGACCCCGUAACUUAGGGAGAAGGGGUGCCACCGAGAGGUGGUCGCAGUGAAGAGGCCCAGGCGACUGUUUAGCAAAAACAUAGGUCUCUGCAAACUCGAAAGAGGAGGUAUAGGGGCUGACGCCUGCCCAGUGCCGGAAGGUUAAAGAAGUUGGUCAGUCUUAGGAUAAAGCUAGCGACUGAAGCCCCGGUGAACGGCGGCCGUAACUAUAACGGUCCUAAGGUAGCGAAAUUCCUUGUCGGGUAAGUUCCGACCCGCACGAAAGGCGUAACGAUCUGGGCGCUGUCUCGGAGAGAGGCUCGGCGAAAUAGGAUUGUCUGUGAAGAUACGGACUACCUGCAUUUGGACAGAAAGACCCUAUGAAGCUUUACUAUAGCUUGGAAUUGUGUUCGGGCUUCCUGUGCGCAGGAUAGGUGGGAGGCGAAGAAGGUAUUCUUGUGGGGAUACUGGAGCCAACGGUGAGAUACCACUCUCAGGAGGCUAGAAUUCUAACUUAAUUAAGGACAGUUUCAGGUGGGUAGUUUGACUGGGGCGGUCGCCUCCAAAAAGGUAACGGAGGCGUACAAAGGUUCCCUCAGACUGGUUGGAAAUCAGUCGCAGAGUGCAAAGGCAGAAGGGAGCUUGACUGCGAGAAGUACAGUUCGAGCAGGGUGGAAACACGGUCUUAGUGAUCCGACGGUGCUGUGUGGAAGGGCCGUCGCUCAACGGAUAAAAGUUACUCUAGGAUAACAGGCUGAUCUCCCCCAAGAGUUCACAUCGACGGGGAGGUUUGGCACCUCGAUGUCGGCUCAUCGCAACCUGGGGCGGAAGUACGUCCCAAGGGUUGGGCUGUUCGCCCAUUAAAGCGGUACGUGAGCUGGGUUCAGAACGUCGUGAGACAGUUCGGUCCAUAUCCGAUGUAGGCGUGAGAAUAUUGAGAGGAGCCUUCCUUAGUACGAGAGGACCGGGAAGGACGCACCGCUGGUGUACCUGUUAUGGUGCCAAUUGUAAACGCAGGGUAGCCAAGUGCGGAGAGGAUAACCGCUGAAAGCAUCUAAGUGGGAAGCCCACCUCAAGAUGAGUAUUCUGGUGUAAGGUCACGGGAAGACGACCCGUAAAUAGGCACGAGGUGGAAGUGCAGAGAUGUAUGAAGCCGAAGUGUACUAAUAGACCAUCGGCUUGACC
This 1325-nucleotide ribosomal RNA is filed under the name metagenome. RNAcentral describes it as "bacterial LSU rRNA". It matches the Rfam family "Bacterial large subunit ribosomal RNA", at positions 1561 to 2925 of the family's 2925-position model. The record is from RNAcentral.